RNAcentral lists this ribosomal RNA (117 nucleotides) under Danio rerio (zebrafish). The record is from RNAcentral. Lineage: Eukaryota; Metazoa; Chordata; Actinopteri; Cypriniformes; Danionidae.
ACUCUCAGCCGUAUCACCCUGCAGCCCAAGACCGGUUACUCACUGAAGCUAAGCACAGCUGAUUCUGGUCAGUAUCCGGAUGAGAGACCACAUGAGAAAACUAGCUUGCUGUUGGAA